Lynx canadensis (Canada lynx) is the source of this 1703-nucleotide long non-coding RNA. RefSeq lists it as uncharacterized. Lineage: Eukaryota; Metazoa; Chordata; Mammalia; Carnivora; Felidae. The record is from RefSeq and is a predicted model, not a curated record. The transcript has 2 exons.
GGGGAGAAGACAGGCCGAGUUCUCACCGAGAGAAAAGCCGCAGGCCUGGCGCCGGCUCCUGCAGGUUCUGAGAACCCUCAGGGAGACUCCGGGGGCGUCACACGGCUCCGGCUACGGGGCCACCCCCACACGCAUGGGGCUGGCGGGUGGCGCCCGGUGCCCACUGGCCAGAGCCCACUCCACGCGGCGGGGGAGAGCGGGGCAGGUUCCCGGGCAGGGACGCGGCCUGCCAGCGCACCCAGCGCUCAAAACCAGCCCAUCAGUUCUGGAGAAAGGGCCAGAGCCUCCCUCGCCCCCACCCACCCCGAGUUCCGUCAACCCCAGGAGAGGGAGGUGUCUUCACGGAGCUGGAAUGACUCCUCUGAGAUUCCUAUAGCAAGAAAAACCCCCGUGAGCCCCUUCUAUCGACGAGAGAGAGAAGCAGGAAGACAGCUGGGCCAGGACAUACCUGUUCGGGCCUGGAAGGCCACUGUCCCCAGCAGGGCACACUUGGGCCCCAGGGAUGGCAGAUGAUCAGGGACAAAACUGCCCAGUGAUUCCUACUCCGCCAGAGAUCAGCAAGCAGGCUACAUGGCUCAUCCACAAGUUUUCCAAACUGUCGCACAUCUCCAAAAAUUUUUCCAACGUGGUUCUUGAGUAAAAACCCGCACGUAAGUGGACCCGCACGGUUCAAGCCCGUGUUGUUCAAGGGUCAGCCGUACUAGGAUUCCGCAAGGUGUUACCGAUGGAGCAGUCUAGAUAAAGUAUACAAGAGAACGUCUCUGUUAUUCCUUACGGUCGCGUCCAUCUACAAUUAUCUCAAAAAAAAAGAUGAUUAAAAAUAUACAAGGUGUGGAGUGCCCGGUGGCUCAGUCGAUCAAGCGUCUGACUCGUGGUUUCGGCUCAGGUCAUGAUCACGGCUCGAGGGAUCGAGCCGCACGUCGGGCUCCGCGCUGACAGUGCAGAGCCCGCUUGGGAUUCUCUCUCUCCCUCUCUACAUAAAUAAACAUUAAAACAAUUAUUUUAAAUAAAAACAAAAAGAGCAAGCUGCCGCGUGACACCAGGAUGGCUACACUUUUUUAAAAGAGGGGCAGGACAAAGCGCUGGGGACGCGGUGAGAGAUCCGGGCCUCCGUGCACCGCUGGCGGGAAGGUGAAGGGCUGUGGCCGCUGCGGGACAGUUAGGUGGUUUCUCACAAGGUUAAAUAAAGAAUUAGCCUAUGACCCGGCAAGCCCGGUCCUGGGCGUCCACUCAAGAUCACUGAAAACGUACGUCCAACACGAACACUUGCACACGAGUGUUCACACAGCAUGAUGCGCCGCAGCCGGCGCGGAGACAUCCCACACGCCCUCCCCCCAGAGGAGCGGACCGGCAGGUGCACGGCCUGGACCCGCGCUCCGCCUCAGAAGGAGCGAAGCCUGGACGCGCACGAUGCUCAGGGAGAAGUCCACACAGAGGGCCCCAUGCCUGCUGUGUGACUCUGUUUCAAUGAAAUGCCCAGAAGAGGCGAAUCCAUAGCCAGGAAGCGGAGUGGUUGCUGGGUGUGGGGGGAGGGGAGUGAGGGCGCCGGAGUUUCUUUCUGCGGUGACGAGAAUACUCUAGAAGGUGAUAAUGGCGACGGUCGCAUAUACUAAAAACCACCGAACCGUACACUUACAAAAGGUGCGAUUUCUGUUACAUGAAUUAUAUCUCAAUAAAACUAUUAAGAAAUUCUAAAAAAAAAA